AUACUUCCGGAAAUUUUGCAUAAAACUAGCAAGUGAGCUUUAUUCUCUGUACAAUUUUUAAGACUCCAUGCCAAGUUAAGUAAACAGAAAUGGUCUUUUUGAUUACGUUUUUUACUAUCUAAGGCCGGUCCUUUAGAUAGUUGGUUUUGGACCUGUCAAAUAGAUGGCGUAAAAGAAUAUUGUGUUGAUAUGUGCUUAUGGCGGCUCGUUGUCAACAGUUCAGCUACAGGCUACAGCUAUUUUCUUCAAAAAUUACCAAUGAAUUCGUUGGAGACUAAUGUGAAAGGGGCAUACAGCCUACUGUCAACUAUUGUGUUGUAAAUCCUGGGAUCCUACUGAAUGUGUCAUCCAAAUGACAGGAUUCAUCAUAAUUAUCGACUGAUUCUAUAAGACUUGCACCAACCCCAGCAUGGACCAAUCUCUCAUUCCAUCUUCUAGAGAACCUUGGAUAACUGAUUGAUGGUUUUGUGUGUCGAGUCAUGUCCUUUGAAGAAAAAGGACAAUGACUAUACAGUCAACAAGGUCCUU
Daphnia pulex (common water flea) is the source of this 528-nucleotide long non-coding RNA. RefSeq lists it as uncharacterized. The transcript has 4 exons. Lineage: Eukaryota; Metazoa; Arthropoda; Branchiopoda; Diplostraca; Daphniidae. The record is from RefSeq and is a predicted model, not a curated record.